AACGCACAUUGCGCUCUCUGGUAUUCCGGAGAGCAUGCCUGUUUGAGCGUCAUUAAAACCCCUCAAUCGUUCUUGAAUGUUUCGGCGUUUGUAGAGUGAUUGGUACUGGACAUUGUGCGCGGGACCUUCGCGGUGCUGUGCUUGUCUGAAAGAUAUUGCAAUGAAAACGUAAUAAGAAAUUAUACUGUCGUGAUCAUUUUUGCAAGACAAAACCGGAAGUCGUGAAAAACUUUCUUCUAAUUUUGACCUCAAAUCAGGUAGGACUACGCGCUGAACUUAA
Molecule: unclassified non-coding RNA, 280 nt
Filed under: uncultured fungus
Lineage: Eukaryota; Fungi
Description: partial contains 5.8S ribosomal RNA, internal transcribed spacer 2, and large subunit ribosomal RNA
Rfam family: 5.8S ribosomal RNA (bases 1-52)
Source: RNAcentral